Molecule: non-coding RNA, 179 nt
Filed under: Thalassovita taeanensis
Lineage: Bacteria; Pseudomonadati; Pseudomonadota; Alphaproteobacteria; Rhodobacterales; Roseobacteraceae
Description: Phaeobacter sp. G4 Ruegeria cis52 sRNA
Rfam family: Ruegeria cis52 sRNA
About the family: Cis-encoded. Targets oligo/dipeptide ABC transporter.
Source: Rfam by way of RNAcentral
UGCGCAGCGCAUGUUUGACCACGAUGUUGCGGAAACUCACACCUUUCAGCCGGGCGGUACGGAUAUACUGCGCCGUCAUUACCUCGGCCAUCGAGGCGCGGGUCAUACGUGCGAUAUAGCCCAUACCGUAAAGCGCAAUGGUCAGCACCGGCAGGAAGAAGUUUUCAAACGUGGCGUCU